Molecule: ribosomal RNA, 465 nt
Filed under: uncultured bacterium
Lineage: Bacteria
Description: bacterial SSU rRNA
Rfam family: Bacterial small subunit ribosomal RNA
Source: RNAcentral
CCUACGGGAUGCAGCAGUGGGGAAUAUUGGACAAUGGGCGAAAGCCUGAUCCAGCAAUGCCGCGUGUAUGAAGAAGGCCUUCGGGUUGUAAAGUACUUUCAGCGGGGAGGAAGGCGAUAAGGUUAAUAACCUUGUCGAUUGACGUUACCCGCAGAAGAAGCACCGGCUAACUCCGCGCCAGCAGCCGCGGUAAUAUGGAGGGUGCAAGCGUUAAUCGGAAUUACUGGGCGUAAAGCGCACGCAGGCGGUCUGUCAAGUCGGAUGUGAAAUCCCCGGGCUCAACCUGGGAACUGCAUUCGAAACUGGCAGGCUAGAGUCUUGUAGAGGGGGGUAGAAUUCCAGGUGUAGCGGUGAAAUGCGUAGAGAUCUGAAGGAAUACCAGUGGCGAAGGCGGCCCCCUGGACGAAGACUGACGCUCAGGUGCGAAAGCGUGGGGAGCAAACAGGAUUAGAUACCCGUGUAGUC